RNAcentral lists this ribosomal RNA (367 nucleotides) under uncultured Desulfocapsa sp. RNAcentral's name for it is "bacterial SSU rRNA". It matches the Rfam family "Bacterial small subunit ribosomal RNA", at positions 1019 to 1382 of the family's 1533-position model. The record is from RNAcentral. Lineage: Bacteria; Pseudomonadati; Thermodesulfobacteriota; Desulfobulbia; Desulfobulbales; Desulfocapsaceae.
AAAGAGGAAUUCGGAGACAGGUGCUGGCAUGGCUGUCGUCAGCUCGUGUCGUGAGAUUGUUGGGUUAAGUCCCGCAACGAGCCGCAACCCUUGUCUUUAGUGCCAUCAUUAAGUUGGGCACUCUAAAGAGACUGCCGGUGUCAAACCGGAGGAAAGGUGGGGAUGACGUCAAGUCCUCAUGGCCUUUAUGACCAGGGCUACACACGUACUACAAUGGCAGGUACAAAGGGCAGCCACUUAGCGAUAAGGCGCGAAUCCCGUAAAACCUGUCUCAGUCCGGAUUGGAGUCUGCAACUCGACUCCAUGAAGUUGGAAUCGCUAGUAAUCGCAGAUCAGCACGCUGCGGUGAAUACGGUUCCCGGGCCUU